GGUUGGUCCCGGCGGGGGAAGGAGAAAGUGAGACUCGGUGUCAUCACCAAUCCGUCGCCAGAAGGGGAGGAAACUGGAAUCCAGCAGCGGCGAGCAGCAGCUGGGCGGUCACAUCUGGAAAUGGAAAGCCGACCUCCCCCUCCUCCUCCACCUCUUCCUCCUCCUCCUCCUCCUCCUCUCACCCAGGAUCACUUCCGAAACCACUUGGCCUUCAGCCCCUGCCUCGGCCAGAGGUUUCAUUUUUAACUGAAUAUUUACGAAAGCUGAAAGCGUGCGAGGGGGGUGGGGUGGAAAUAGCGGCUGCUUCUUUUCCAAGGAUUUAUUUAAUGGGGAUGUGUUCAAGGCAAGACCGAAUUCAGAAGGAUAUCGACGUCGUGAUCCAGAAGUCCAGAGCUGAGGACUGCCUGUUUGCAGGGCACCGGCAACAGUUUUCCGUUUGUGCCUACUCCACCUGCUGUCUUUGUUGGGUCAGCGAACAUCGCCUCCCUCUACCGCUCAAUCAGCAAAAGGGACCGCCCUUGAGGACCUCACCCGCGGCUCACUCCCCUCCCAACUUCGCGGGCAUCGCCUCCGGUCGCCUCUUCCGAAGGCCUAACGAGCAUGUUAGCUGCGAACGGAGGUGAGGAGGCUCCGCUGACUGACCGGUGCCCAUGUCCAGGGCACGCACAAACGCCAUGACUUGGCUUGGCCUCUCUCUUAGUUAUUCACAAGCUCAGCCCGAUAGGCACCUCUGGGGCGGCGACGGCAAAGAGGGUGCGCUUAUUAAGUGCAGCUCCACGGGGACUGGCCUCUGCACGGCUGUGUACACCUGAGCGAGACGCUCAGUCGCUCUCUAAAGCCGCUUCUGCGGAUGACAGACACGGAGAUAAACGUGAGAGGUGGCCCACCACGACUUGCCCUCCUUUGCCCGGGUUUGCCCCUCGCUGCGGAGGCUGUUCUACAUCUGGCCCUUGGAGCAGGCCGGCUGACAGCGUGGUAAAGGAAGAUUUCUGCGGGAGGGCGGCCAGUGCAAAACAAUUCCCUGACCGGGAAUCGAACCCGGGCCGUGGCGCUUUCAGCACCGAAUCCUAGCCACUAGACAACCAUGCAGAUGCGGAAAGCUGCUUUCUCUCCCUUCUUCGACCUGAAGCGACACUUUCCUGUGCUCUAGGAGGACUUGGGUCUUGUGAGAGUCUCCCUUUGCUCCUGGAGUCGUCUCACAAGGCCGUUCACUCCCUGCUUUCUUCAAAAAAAGAACCUGCAGGCGACACACCAAGGGCUCCACGAGGGAGUCCUGAGUACUGGAGCGAGUUGCGGCCACGCGGCCGCAGCUCACCACUGGCCUAGAGAUGCCCUUUGCCAGGCGGCAGCAACUGACAAGAUGGUCGCGGGUCGCCGGGUCCGGAGCCGCCCACCAGGUUGCCAGGAGGAGGCGGGAGCGGGGAGGCGCCCGAGGUGAGACGGGGGCACCCUCUGCAUCAUAAAGGACCCAGACCCCGGCACCCUCAACAUCAUAAGGAAUCAGACGGAUGCGGAAACCGAGGCGGGCUGGAUAGGAAACUCUUUCCAGGAAGGCUCCGGGGCACUCAACUGGUCUCCAACCUUCCCCUGCAACCUGUGACGCCUGCCAUUUUCCCAUUUUAGGCGAUGGCAACGCAACCCCUCCGUUUGCUCUGGGCAAAACUUCGAGAGUUCCCUCUGAAGCUGGAGCUUUUUCCUCAGAUCCAAGAUCCAAUUGGUCACCAAUUCGUGAUUUCCGUCGGCCAAGUGCGUGGGCAUUGAUCUACACGCGAGUUUCUCCACCUCUGCCGAAUGGCUACUUCGGGGUGGGGGAGGGGCCCUCCCGCCGUGGAUUGCAAGGUGUUUAGCAGCAUCUGUCUCCUCCGCUGACUAGACACAUGCCAGGGGGAUAACAUUCUCCCUCCCGCUUCCCCCAGCCGCGGCCUAGUGUCCCAGCGGGGUUGGGAGAGGCAUGUGAGGGCGAAGUUGCCCCCUGUUGAGAACCAUUGCUGCGCGUAGUCCUUCUCUCUGAACUUGUGCAGAGGACUCUCCAGGUGAAGGCUCAAGGGUGGAUCCAGCUCGAGACACCCUCGCUCCCCCUCACAGUCGGACCUUAGGAUUUAGGCUUUAACAUCUCCACAUCAUGAGAUUCGAAACCUUUAGGUCUUGUCUUCCGUUCUGUCCUCCAAAUCGGCCUCUUCCGAGCCUGUUGACCAGGGCCAGCCGGGCAGAGGGCUGGGCUCGCUCAACGAGGCUCCUCUCGCACCUCCUGGAGCUUCAGGCUUCUUUCCGUUGCAGAGAAGCUUUAUGGGCCAAUUCGUUCGGCAUCCCCGGGGGCAGGUGCGCGGUGCGCGGGGAAGAAGAGGAUUUGACUGCGGUUCUCCACCCCCGGCGCCCAACCUCCACCCCGGUGCGCGCGCUCUUCCAGGCUCCUGCUGGUCCCACUUGCCAGGAGUUAGGUCUCAGGUCAGCCUGAGCUCCUGAGACGCCCAGGCCCGGAAAGACACGUAGGGGAAACCAUCUGCUCACUUCUGUCCUGUCCGGAAGGGAUCCCUUUCUGACGGGAAAGAAAGGCG
RNAcentral lists this long non-coding RNA (2555 nucleotides) under Homo sapiens (human). RNAcentral's name for it is "long independently transcribed non-coding RNA 1145, transcript variant 2 (LINC01145)". The record is from RNAcentral. Lineage: Eukaryota; Metazoa; Chordata; Mammalia; Primates; Hominidae.